AUGCAGGUGCGGCUGGACACAUCUUCUGAGCUAUAAGCAUUACUUAUUUAGUCCCGUUAAACGGAUUAUAUCUUAUUGCUGCAGCUAACAUAAAGGUCGAUUGUCUUUGUGGCCGACUGAUGCAGGAAGACAAAGGGAGAUGAAAGUCUCUUUUUGUUCAACUCGAUCUCAAAUCAAGCAAGACUACCCGCUGAACUUAA
RNAcentral lists this unclassified non-coding RNA (200 nucleotides) under soil metagenome. Its description in RNAcentral is "partial contains internal transcribed spacer 2 and large subunit ribosomal RNA". The record is from RNAcentral.